Molecule: ribosomal RNA, 581 nt
Filed under: uncultured bacterium
Lineage: Bacteria
Description: bacterial SSU rRNA
Rfam family: Bacterial small subunit ribosomal RNA (bases 1-522)
Source: RNAcentral
CCUACGGGAGGCAGCAGUGGGGAAUAUUGCACAAUGGGCGAAAGCCUGAUGCAGCGACGCCGCGUGAGGGACGACGGCCUUCGGGUUGUAAACCUCUUUCAGCAGGGACGAAGCGCAAGUGACGGUACCUGCAGAAGAAGCACCGGCUAACUACGUGCCAGCAGCCGCGGUAAUACGUAGGGUGCAAGCGUUGUCCGGAAUUACUGGGCGUAAAGAGUUCGUAGGCGGUUUGUCACGUCGUUUGUGAAAACUCACAGCUCAACUGUGAGCCUGCAGGCGAUACGGGCAGACUUGAGUACUGCAGGGGAGACUGGAAUUCCUGGUGUAGCGGUGAAAUGCGCAGAUAUCAGGAGGAACACCGGUGGCGAAGGCGGGUCUCUGGGCAGUAACUGACGCUGAGGAACGAAAGCGUGGGUAGCAAACAGGAUUAGAUACCCUGGUAGUCCACGCCGUAAACGGUGGGCGCUAGGUGUGGGUUCCUUCCACGGAUCCGUGCCGUAGCUAACGCAUUAAGCGCCCGCUGGGGNGACGCGCGAGAGAACANAAUGAGUUGNGNGNGAGAGNGCGAGNGACGAGAGGAG